ACAGCCAGGCUGCACAUGUAUGGAACCUUGUUUAAAACCAGUCAGAUGUCCUUCAUACCAUUGUUAUCUAGGUCCCCAGUCAGAUGUCCUCCUUCAUACCAUUGUUAUCUAGGUCCCCAGAGUCAGAUGUCCUCCUUCAUACCAUUGUUAUCUAGGUCCCCAGAGUCAGAUGUCCUCCUUCAUACCAUUGUUAUCUAGGUCUCCAGAGUCAGAUGUCCUCCUCCAUACCAUUGUUAUCUAGGUCUCCAGAGUCAGAUGUCCUCCUUCAUACCAUUGUUAUCUAGGUCUCCAGUCAGAUGUCCUCCUUCAUACCAUUGUUAUCUAGGUCUCCAGUCAGAUGUCCUCCUUCAUACCAUUGUUAUCUAGGUCCCCAGUCAGAUGUCCUCCUUCAUACCAUUGUUAUCCAGGUCUCCAGAGUCAGAUGUCCUCCUUCAUACCAUUGUUAUCUAGGUCCCCAGUCAGAUGUCCUCCUUCAUACCAUUGUUAUCUAGGUCCCCAGUCAGAUGUCCUCCUUCAUACCAUUGUUAUCUAGGUCUCCAGAGUCAGAUGUCCUCCUUCAUACCAUUGUUAUCUAGGUCUCCAGAGUCAGAUGUCCUCCUUCAUACCAUUGUUAUCUAGGUCCCCAGUCAGAUGUCCUCCUUCAUACCAUUGUUAUCUAGGUCUCCAGAGUCAGAUGUCCUCCUUCAUACCAUUGUUAUCUAGGUCUCCAGAGUCAGAUGUCCUCCUUCAUACCAUUGUUAUCUAGGUCCCCAGUCAGAUGUCCUCCUUCAUACCAUUGUUAUCUAGGUCUCCAGAGUCAGAUGUCCUCCUUCAUACCAUUGUUAUCUAGGUCUCCAGAGUCAGAUGUCCUCCUUCAUACCAUUGUUAUCUAGGUCUCCAGAGUCAGAUGUCCUCCUUCAUACCAUUGUUAUCUAGGUCCCCAGUCAGAUGUCCUCCUUCAUACCAUUGUUAUCUAGGUCCCCAGUCAGAUGUCCUCCUUCAUACCAUUGUUAUCUAGGUCUCCAGAGUCAGAUGUCCUCCUUCAUACCAUUGUUAUCUAGGUCUCCAGAGUCAGAUGUCCUCCUUCAUACCAUUGUUAUCUAGGUCUCCAGAGUCAGAUGUCCUCCUUCAUACCAUUGUUAUCUAGGUCUCCAGAGUCAGAUGUCCUCCUUCAUACCAUUGUUAUCUAGGUCCCCAGUCAGAUGUCCUCCUUCAUACCAUUGUUAUCUAGGUCUCCAGAGUCAGAUGUCCUCCUUCAUACCAUUGUUAUCUAGGUCUCCAGAGUCAGAUGUCCUCCUCCAUACCAUUGUUAUCUAGGUCUCCAGAGUCAGAUGUCCUCCUCCAUACCAUUGUUAUCUAGGUCUCCAGAGUCAGAUGUCCUCCUUCAUACCAUUGUUAUCUAGGUCUCCAGAGUCAGAUGUCCUCCUUCAUACCAUUGUUAUCUAGGUCUCCAGUCAGAUGUCCUCCUCCAUACCAUUGUUAUCUAGGUCUCCAGUCAGAUGUCCUCCUUCAUACCAUUGUUAUCUAGGUCCCCAGUCAGAUGUCCUCCUUCAUACCAUUGUUAUCUAGGUCCCCAGUCAGAUGUCCUCCUUCAUACCAUUGUUAUCUAGGUCUCCAGAGUCAGAUGUCCUCCUUCAUACCAUUGUUAUCCAGGUCCCCAGAGAUUAUUUAAUUUAAAAUAAUACUUUUGGAACAGUAUUCGUCACAUUGUUUCAGAAUCCCACAGCAUGUGUUGGUAGGACUUCAUUUUUAAACAGAAAUGUACUUAGUAUACAAAUAUACAAUAUUCUGUGUCAUGUGAGGGAAGUAUACAAUAUUCAGUGUCAUGUGAGGGAAGUAUACAAUAUUCUGUGUCAUGUGAGGGAAGUAUACAAUAUUCAGUGUCAUGUGAGGGAAGUAUACAAUAUUCAGUGUCAUGUGAGGGAAGUAUACAAUAUUCAGUGUCAUGUGAGGGAAGUAUACAAUAUUCAGUGUCAUGUGAGGGAAGUAUACAAUAUUCUGUGUCAUGUGAGGGAAGUAUACAAUAUUCUGUGUCAUGUGAGGGAAGUAUACAAUAUUCAGUGUCAUGUGAGGGAAGUAUACAAUAUUCAGUGUCAUGUGAGGGAAGUAUACAAUAUUCUGUGUCAUGUGAGGGAAGUAUACAAUAUUCUGUGUCAUGUGAGGGAAGUAUACAAUAUUCUGUGUCAUGUGAGGGAAGUAUACAAUAUUCAGUGUCAUGUGAGGGAAGUAUACAAUAUUCUGUGUCAUGUGAGGGAAGUAUACAAUAUUCAGUGUCAUGUGAGGGAAGUAUACAAUAUUCGGUGUCGUUUAGAAAUGUAUCAACACGGUAUCACCACCAAACGGUAUCACCAACGUGUCUUACCCAGUGUACUAGUAGGGGUGUGUUGUGAUAGAUCCAGUCAAUGAGUUGUGUUGUGAGUCGUGAGAUGUAGAUGGCAGCAGCUUUAGUUCUCUCCCAGUUCUGCUCCAGUACCGGACUCAACACACGAACACACUCGGAGUAGUAGUAGGGAGUAUUGGUGUCCAGCCAGCUACACACAUGGGACAAAAUUAGUCCGAGGUCAUUGUUAUUUUGGAUACAAAAAAUGACUUCAGUCUCCACACAGAAUGUCUAAAACCUGAAAGAACACGUAUAUGGACGUAUAUUUUUAAAUAACUGACCCGACAAAUACAUUUUGAAGUCAUUUCUAAACGCGGCCCGUCCUCAGAGAUAUGCUGAUGAGCAAACAUGAUUUCCCAGCUCUGGGUUAGUCAGGGGUUAAAGGUUACCUGAAGCCCUGAUGUGAGUAGAGAGUGACUUUGCUCCAGGCCUGUUGAGACACGCCCAUCACCCCUGAACUGUGGAGAUAGCUUGCUGUGGUGGAGUCUACACACACACACACACACAUUCAGAUUGGUUUACAGUUGCAUAGGAACUGUGUGUGUGUGUGUGUGUGUGUGUGUGUGUUGGUACAUGUGUGUGUGUGUGUGUGUGUGUGUGUGUGUGUGUGUGUGUGUGUGUGUGUGUGUUGGUACAUGUGUGUGUGUGUGUGUGUGUAUGUGUACCUGUGAGUGUGUGUGUGUGUGUGUGUGUGUGUAUGUGUACCUGUGAGUGUGUGUGUGUGUGUGUGUGUGUGUAUGUGUACCUGUGAGUGUGUGUGUGUGUGUGUGUGUACCUGUGAAGGAUCCAUGUGAUCGGAUGUCGUGUGUAAUGAACCCGGCAGCAAACACCAGUAAAGCCAUGAAGAGUCUGGACCAGGGGAACCCUCGUCCUAACAUCUUCAACUGGAGACACUACGGACAGAAGAGAGAGGAGGUGGACAGGUAGGAGAGAGGACAGGUGGUGGAGAAGAAGAGGAGAGAGGAGAGGUGGUGGAGAAGAAGAGGAGAGGUGGUGGAGAGAGGAGGUGGACAGGUAGGACAGAGGACAGGUGGUGGAGAAGAAGAGGAGAAAGGAGAGGUGGUGGAGAGAGGAGGUGGACAGGUAGGAGAGAGGACAGGUGGUGGAGAAGAAGAGGAGAGAGGAGAGGUGGUGGAGAGAGGAGGUGGACAGGUAGGAGAGAGGACAGGUGGUGGAGAAGAAGAGGAGAGGAGAGGUGGUGGAGAGAGGAGGUGGACAGGUGGUGGAGAAGAAGAGGAGAAAGGAGAGGAGGUGGACAGGUAGGAGAGAGGACAGGUGGUGGAGAAGAAGAGGAGAGAGGAGAGGUGGUGGAGAGAGGAGGUGGACAGGUAGGAGAGAGGACAGGUGGUGGAGAAGAAGAGGAGAAAGGAGAGGUGGUGGAGAG
Salvelinus fontinalis (brook trout) is the source of this 3743-nucleotide long non-coding RNA. RefSeq lists it as uncharacterized. The transcript is spliced from 7 exons. The record is from RefSeq and is a predicted model, not a curated record. Lineage: Eukaryota; Metazoa; Chordata; Actinopteri; Salmoniformes; Salmonidae.